GGAUGUGAUUAUACCAGCACUAAAGCACCGGAUCCCAUCGGAACUCCAAAGUUAAGCGUACUUGGGUGAGAGUAGUACUAGGAUGGGUGACCUCCUGGGAAGUCCUCAUGUUGCAUCCC
Molecule: ribosomal RNA, 119 nt
Organism: Oryza sativa Japonica Group (Japanese rice)
Lineage: Eukaryota; Viridiplantae; Streptophyta; Magnoliopsida; Poales; Poaceae
Source: Rfam